Molecule: long non-coding RNA, 1192 nt
Organism: Microplitis mediator
Lineage: Eukaryota; Metazoa; Arthropoda; Insecta; Hymenoptera; Braconidae
Exons: 3
Source: RefSeq, a predicted model, not a curated record
UUGUGAUAUGGUUUUCAUUUAUAAGUAACAUUUAUUUAUCAAAUAUAUCUUUUUCUUAUUUGUUUAUAGAGUAUGCAUUUGUUUAUAACCAUAUUUACUGUUAACUAUAGAACAAGGGCCUAUUCAUGAUUUUUAUGCGUGUGUUUUGUUUAGGUUUUAAGUAUCGGGUGACAGGAAACGUUCCAAGACCACUCAAACGGUGGAGGCACCUGAGGCCACUGAGGACAUAACACACGCCCUAUCCAUGGAGAAUAGAGACAAGGAGCCCGAACUUAUGCUUUAUGAAUAGCAUGGAAGACGAGGCGCCGGCGAGGAGUUCUAUUAUAGAUGUCACCCUCGUAGCGUGGGCUAUAAUGAUCGUGGAGAGGGAGAAAAAUAAUUUUGAACACUUUCGUUGCACAGAGUGUCGGUUAGUUUAGGCGAAACUGCCUCUUGGACGGGUGGGUUGUGUUUUUUUCAUUUUUAUUAUUAUACAUUAAGCUAAGAUAAUCCCGAUUAUGUACGGCUCAAUCGAACCGCUUAUAUCAAUUACUGAAAAUUUAUUACAUUGCAAUAUCAAUGAGAAUUUAUACACUUUUCAACAAUUAAUUGAGGAUGUAGAUAAUAUUCCGAAACCAUCGAAAACUUGGUUUAUCUUCAAAUUCGAAAAACUCUUACUGUUCAUGGAAAUAUUACCUAAUAUAUAUAGUGAACGGAAAAAAAUUAUUAUCACUGAUUCAAUGGAAGUGAAAUAUUACUAUAAAACUAAACCAAUUACUUGGCUUAAGAGUGGAGAAAUAAGUAGCAUCGAAGAUGUUAAGCGAGUAAUCGACCUAUACGAUUUUCUUGUAUUUCCUGAAAAUUUAGUUGACUAACAGUAAUCUUACUGAACAUAUCGAUAAUUUGUCGAUAUUAAAUUUGAAUUGUACAUUUGAAAAGAUUUUUAGCAGAUUGUUCUGGGAACCAAAAUUCACGUUAAAAAAAAAAAAAAAAAAAUUGUACAAAUAUUUUUAACCGUAAUGCAAAAUGGAAGACAUGAUAAAAAUAACAAUAAUCAGACUAAUAAUAAUAAUAAUAAUAAUAAUAGUUUAAUCAGGAAACUAAUAUUAUAUUGCUGAUAUGCAUGUAAUAUUCAUAAACAAUUUGUAAUAAUGGAAUCUUUUUUAUAAAAAAUAUAUGCGCAUACAUAUGGACUGUAGCAUUUCAAUCUUAU